UCCAGGGAACAGCAAAACCCCCCAAAAAAUCCCUUGAAUGUUGUGUGGGGGCAGAAAUAGAAAUAGAAAAGCUCCACCAAGGGAAGGGCCAACAGGGUUUAGGAUGGACUGCUCCAAACUGGGUCAGGUUUAGGACGGACUGCUCAGAUUUAGGAUGGACUGCUCAGCUGAUUCAGAUUUAGGAUGAACCAACUCAGAUUUAGGAUGAAUUGAUUCAGAUUUAGGAUGAACUGCUCAGAUUUAGGAUGAACUGCUCAGAUUUAGGAUGGACUGCUCAGAUUUAGGAUGCGCUGCUCAGCUGAUUCAGAUUUAGGAUGUUUUCCUCAGAGCUCCUGGGUUGUGAUCUUUGCACCCCCCAAAUUCCAGGCAAGUGUGCCAACAGGAGCCCAGAGUUCCCGACCUGCAUCCCAGGAGCCCCAUUCCUCAGGGAA
Molecule: long non-coding RNA, 431 nt
Organism: Pseudopipra pipra
Lineage: Eukaryota; Metazoa; Chordata; Aves; Passeriformes; Pipridae
Exons: 2
Source: RefSeq, a predicted model, not a curated record